UGCGUAGGCGGGCUAAUAAGUCAGUGGUGAAAUCUCUCGGCUCAACCGGGAAACUGCCAUUGAUACUGUUAGUCUUGAGUUCGGUUGAGGUAGGCGGAAUGUGUAAUGUAGCGGUGAGAUGCUUAGAUAUUACACAGAACACCAAUUGCGUAGGCAGCUUACUAGACCGACACUGACGCUGAGGCACGAAAGCGUGGGGAGCGAACAGGAUUAGAUACCCUGGUAGUC
Molecule: ribosomal RNA, 228 nt
Filed under: uncultured bacterium
Lineage: Bacteria
Description: partial 16S ribosomal RNA
Rfam family: Bacterial small subunit ribosomal RNA
Source: RNAcentral